CGGGCGCGCGCCCCGGCGGGGGCACCCGGUUGGGGGGCGAGGAGGUGUUCUCCCCGGCCCGGAGCGCGCGGCUUCGGGAAGAGGCUGGCGGGAAGGCGGGCCGCGCGGCGAGCGCCGACGAAUCGAUGAUUCGGCCUGUGGGCAGGGUCACUGCGGCGGGGCCCGGGGAGCGCCGAUGUCAUGGAUGGGCUCGGAGGGGCGCUGGGUUUUGGCGGCUCCUCGCGCUCGCCUCGCCGACCGCCAUUUCAUGUCCUCUCGAGGAGGCGGGGGCGGCCGCCGAGAGGAUUUUUUUUUUCCUCCCCUCCCCAACAAGGUCAAGAUAAGAACUCUCAGCUCCUUCUCCAGCUCCAUGUCUGCCUGCUUCCCACCAUGAUGAUCAUGGACUAGACCUCUGAACUGUGACCCCUGUGAAAGGGUCGUUCCACCCACAAAGGGGUCAUAAUCCACAGGUUGAGAACCACUGAGAUAGACCUGCCAGCCCCAGUGUAUAAUCUAAUGUUCACUCUCUACAGCCACUACUGUGCCCAGAAUGUUGUUGUCCCAGGAGUGAUAUGGAGAUAAGACUAACCCCAAGGAGGUGACCAUAGUAAGAAAUAGGAGAGAUGUCCUCGUGAAAGAAACUGUUCCCUUAUAAAAGCUCAGAGAGACGCCUCAUCUUUUAUACCCCAUGAGGACACAGUAAGAUGGCGCCACUAUAAGGAAACAAUUCUCAGCAGAUACCAUAUCUGCCACCACCACAGUCUAGGACUUUCCAGAAAUAGAAGAAAUAAAUGGUGGUAGCUGCUUGUUGUUUGUGUUUGAUUAUUUUUGAUUUUUUUUGAAAGGUUCCCUUUGUAGCCUAGAUGGCCUAUAACUUGAAAUCUUUCUGUCCCUUCCAGGUGUUUUGGUUCUAGGGCAGUGCCACCACUUCCAGCCCGAUAGCUGCUUUCUUGUGAUACCCUCAGGGGCUGUCUGCCCUGUGUCUAUAUAUUUCAGUGUUUCAGGGUACCCCAGUUAACCCUCUUUAACGGUAAACAAAGGUAUAUUCUAAAGUAGUUAGUCUUCAGCACAGAUAGAGACAGAGCACAAUUCAGCCUGUAAAGAUGCAUAUGUGCACAAAGCAUGUGACACCAUGUAGAAAGGAGGCAUGUAUGCACAAAGCAUGUGACACCAUGUAGAAAAAUGUUUACUGUAUAUGACAUACACUUCAAACACUCCAUGUUUAUUUCACCUAUAAGAAGUAGAUAGCAUUAUCUACGCCAUUCUCUUUUUAAAAUUGAAUUCUUCAGCUGGAGAGUUGGCGCUGCUUUUAAGAGCACUCGUUGCUCUUGCAAAGGACUCGGGUUUGAUUCCCAGCCCUUACAUGGUGGUUUACAACCAUGCAUAAAGUUAUUCCAGUUCCAGGAAAUCUGACACCCUCUUCUGACCUCUGCAGGUACCAGGCAUGUGGUAGUACACUCAACACCUGUAAACUAAAAUGAAUACAUCUUUUAAGAAUUGACUUCCUUUGCCAGGUGUGGUGAUACACCCCUGUAGUCCCAGCACUCAGGAGGCACAGGCAGUGAAUUGCUCUACAUACAUAGCUAAUACCAGACCAACC
Molecule: long non-coding RNA, 1579 nt
Organism: Mesocricetus auratus (golden hamster)
Lineage: Eukaryota; Metazoa; Chordata; Mammalia; Rodentia; Cricetidae
Exons: 4
Source: RefSeq, a predicted model, not a curated record